CAUUUAUGAGGGCUUUCUGCGACUGAUCCGCUCUUUCACAGAAGGAAAGCAUCACUCAGUGACAUUUUGUGGACUCAGAAAGGGCAAAAACAUGGAAUAAUAGUCCUCCUCCUGUUGGCACGACGGUUUCACCCAGCUGGCAAAAUGCUAAAGGUGGCAUUUUACCUCUGCCAUCUGGAAGAAGUCAGUCUGAGCCUAAAUUAAUCAUUAAAUAGGCUGCGUUAGUCAUUAAAGUAAAUAAUGCCUCCAACCGCUGCUCGAGGGGAAACAACGCCAGUUUGUGCAUGAAUGUUCACUCUGUUCAGACAGACUUCAUCAUCUGAGGACAGACGUCACUGUGGUGGUUUCCAACUGAGGCAACAUCCACCUCCAUGGCGGCGGCGGCAGAGUCGCGCUUGCCGAUGGUGCGAGCGUAGAGGCGGUGGAGCAGCCCAUCGGAGCCGUGACGGAUGUACUGCUGCAGCUGGGCGCAGGUGCGGUCGUCGCUGGCACAGAUGAGCACGCCGCCUGCCAUCACACAGUUACACACUGUUCAAGCCUGCUUCUUCAUUCUUGUUGAGCUGUUCUGACCCCGACACCCUGACAGGCUCAGCAGGACGGCGCCCUCACCUGCUUCCUCGCAGCUCUUGUUCUCCUUCUCAAUCUCCUCCAGCACCUCGGCCGCAGUCUCCCACCUGAUAUAAGAUGAGCGGGGAUGCGAUCAAGGAGAAAGUCCACCACCAGGAUUCUGCUGGUGACGAACAGCACCCCUCCCUCGGUGUAAACGCUGUAGCGCUCGGAGCUCUGGACGUCGCUGGUCACCGUCCGGGGCAGAAGGACCAGGCUGUCUUUCUCCGAGUAAACCCGCAUGAACUGCAGCAGAAUGCGGUCUAACCCCAUCCCUUCAGCCACCACCAAGAGCCCAUCGGAGCUGAACAGACUCAGGAAGAUCUCGGUCUCGUACUCCAGCAGCGGCCCCGCCAUGAUGAUUCAGAUAUUUACUUUAUCAUCCGAAAGCAAAAAAUAAAUACAUGAAUUAA
Molecule: non-coding RNA, 1019 nt
Organism: Oryzias latipes (Japanese medaka)
Lineage: Eukaryota; Metazoa; Chordata; Actinopteri; Beloniformes; Adrianichthyidae
Source: RefSeq, a predicted model, not a curated record